UACAGAGACUGCAAGCGUUAUUCGGAUUCACUGGGCGUAAAGGGUGCGCAGGCGGCCAAGUGUGUGAGGUGUGAAAGCCCGGGGCUUAACCCCGGAAUUGCACCUCAAACUACAUGGCUAGAGCAUUGGAGAGGGUAGCAGAAUUCAUGGUGUAGCAGUGAAAUGCGUAGAUAUCAUGAGGAAUACCAGAGGCGAAGGCGGCUACCUGGACAAUUGCUGACGCUCAGGCACGAAAGCGUGGGGAGCAAAAGGG
Molecule: ribosomal RNA, 253 nt
Filed under: uncultured bacterium
Lineage: Bacteria
Description: partial 16S ribosomal RNA
Rfam family: Bacterial small subunit ribosomal RNA
Source: RNAcentral